AGCGAACGCUGGCGGCGUGCUUAACACAUGCAAGUCGAGUGCGUAGCCCUUUGUAGCAAUACAGAGGGUGGGCGCACGGCGCACGGGUGAGUAACACGUGGGUAACCUGCCCUUCGGUGGGGAAUAACCCCGCGAAAGCGGGGCUAAUUCCGCAUAACAUUCCGGGGACACAUGUUCUCGGACUCAAAGGAGUGAUUCGCCGGAGGAGGGGCCCGCGCCCGAUUAGCUUGUUGGUAGGGUAACGGCCUACCAAGGCUUUGAUCGGUAGCCGGUCUGAGAGGAUGGCCGGCCACACUGGAACUGAGACACGGUCCAGACUCCUACGGGAGGCAGCAGUGGGGAAUCUUGCGCAAUGGGCGAAAGCCUGACGCAGCGACGCCGCGUGGGGAUGAAGCUUCUCGGAGU
Molecule: ribosomal RNA, 405 nt
Filed under: uncultured bacterium
Lineage: Bacteria
Description: bacterial SSU rRNA
Rfam family: Bacterial small subunit ribosomal RNA
Source: RNAcentral